RNAcentral lists this ribosomal RNA (443 nucleotides) under uncultured bacterium. RNAcentral describes it as "partial 16S ribosomal RNA". It matches the Rfam family "Bacterial small subunit ribosomal RNA", at positions 338 to 795 of the family's 1533-position model. The record is from RNAcentral.
ACUACGGGAGGCAGCAGUGGGGAAUAUUGGGCAAUGGGCGCAAGCCUGACCCAGCAACGCCGCGUGAAGGAAGAAGGCCCUCGGGUUGUAAACUUCUUUUGUCAGGGACGAAGAAAGUGACGGUACCUGACGAAUAAGCCACGGCUAACUACGUGCCAGCAGCCGCGGUAAUACGGAGGUGGCAAGCGUUAUCCGGAUUUACUGGGUGUAAAGGGCGUGUAGGCGGGACUGCAAGUCAGAUGUGAAAUUCCAGGGCUCAACCCUGGAACUGCAUUUGAAACUGUAGUUCUUGAGUGAUGGAGAGGCAGGCGGAAUUCCGUGUGUAGCGGUGAAAUGCGUAGAGAUACGGAGGAACACCAGUGGCGAAGGCGGCCUGCUGGACAUUAACUGACGCUGAGGCGCGAAAGCGUGGGGAGCAAACAGGAUUAGAUACCCCAGUAGUC